This 1809-nucleotide unclassified non-coding RNA is filed under the name Hevea brasiliensis (rubber tree). The record is from RNAcentral. Lineage: Eukaryota; Viridiplantae; Streptophyta; Magnoliopsida; Malpighiales; Euphorbiaceae.
AAUACAAUCAGAUGAGCAUUGAAGCAUUUAGAGUUGGAGGGGCAGGAUGGUAAGUGGAAAAUACUUGCCAGUAGUUUGACUCCGUAAUUUAUGAUGCCCUUAUCUGCCAGAUCGGAAAAAGUUCAGAACAAAUGAAGAUGCACAUUCUAAUAACAGCAAUUGACCCUAUAUAUGUUGAUACAGUUGCUGAAUCCAUAGCUCAAUUUUCAAUUCAUUCAAUUCUGUGUCAUCCACAAGUAAAUUGUAAUUAUGAAAGAAUAACCAAUCACAAAGAUUAGAGAGACAAGGCAGUAAUAGCAACAGGAGGAGGAGGCGAUGGAGCAACACUUGUUGCAUUGUCUGUCCAAUUCUUUUCACCCCAGUGCCAUAACAUACUCUCCCAGAAGCAGAAAUCUUCAAAGCAAGUUUUCAAACGUUUGUCUUUUAUCUUGAUUUUCCAAUGACCAUCAGUGUAAUUAGCUUUCUCAGCUUGCCUCCGGUCCCACUCCAAUGCUGCCUUUUGCUUGGACCUAAGGAGGCAGUACUUGUGCAAGUUUUCUGGCAUAGCAUCAUGCACCUUCCACCAUGUUUUGUGAGCAACAUCACUAGCAAACUCCUGCAAAAUGUCUACAUUCCAGUUGCAAUCAUAAUCCCGGAAGCAUAUCCAGGGUUUAUUACCCAGAUAGUGUAGAACAUAAAGGAUUGGAGGAUCAGCACCAAAGAGAUGAGUUUUCAUUUGUUUCUUCUCCUUCUCGUCACCUUCCCAAAAGUGUUUCAGGAAGUUCAUGUGUUUAGGAAUCCGGUGCCACCAUGUGAAAAUUUCAUUCAGAUAACCCUGGUCCCCACCAUUGUAUGACUCAAUCUCAUUGAUGUGAUCCAUUAAGAGCUGGAACGUACAAUUUGAUGGUUCAACCACCAUCACUCCAGAGUUGAACAGGGUAGCAUUAUUCCCUAUAGCAGUAAUUUCUGGCAUCUCAAACAAUAAAUCAAUAUUUCUCAGUAUAAGCAUGUCAGCAUCAAUGAAAAUGAUCUUGUCAUAAUCUGUCAACUGCCAGAGUCGAAAUUUACUAUAGUUCCAUUCAUUGUAAGCAUCCUUUUCAGCUUUCGGGUUCCUGAUUCUUUGGAUUGUAUGGAUUUUCCAGCCUGCAGCCUCUAAUCCUCCUCUAUGAUAAUCACUAAUUGUUUCAUCAACCAGUAUUACAAGAUCCCGUGUUGAACCUGCCAUACGAAUGCUCUGAGCAGCAACAAUCGCCCCACACACAUAAACAUGUGCAGAGUGCAGGAUUGUUGCAUAUGCUUCCCUAUGUGCUCUUUCUGAAUAGAAAUUCUCUUUAGCCUUGAGAGGAACUGCAAGUUCACAUGACCCCACUGGGAGCUGUAGUUUUUCUCGUAACACGUUAAGGUUGGGUUGAUACAGCCAUAAAUUCCCUUCAUGAAAAAUAAGCUCCUUGCAAGUAAACAGAUUUGGGGUUGGGAAGCAAUCAGUCACCAAAAGCACAUGAACAGGAUGAUAACUUUUAGCAGAAGCAGCAAGACUUGCUGCUGCAAGCUGCAGGUGCAAACGAGCUACAUCUCUUGACCAUCUUCCUGACUUGUCACAUGGAAGCUUGACAGCAAUGACAUCAAUACGAGGCUUGCCAGGAACUUUAAGUUUGGGCACUGAAGGACAAGUGGGAACCUCAAAUUCUUCUUCUUCAUCUAUCCAUUCAGGGUACAGGGAUUCCCACGUUACAUUUUUUGGUAGAUGGUCAAGGUUUAGAACAACAUGCUCAAUAUCUGGUAACAGGUGCUUCCAAUUAUCAAUCUCACUCACAUUAAAGUUUAACAAGC